GUGGAUUAGAUACCCGGGUAGUCCACGCCGUAAACGUUGGGCGCUAGGUGUGGGUCCCUUCCACGGGGUCUGUGCCGCAGCUAACGCAUUAAGCGCCCCGCCUGGGGAGUACGGCCGCAAGGCUAAAACUCAAAGGAAUUGACGGGGGCCCGCACAAGCGGCGGAGCAUGUUGCUUAAUUCGACGCAACGCGAAGAACCUUACCAAGGUUUGACAUGGCCGGAAAACUCGCAGAGAUGCGGGGUCCUUCGGGGCCGGUCACAGGUGGUGCAUGGCCGUCGUCAACU
RNAcentral lists this ribosomal RNA (286 nucleotides) under uncultured bacterium. RNAcentral describes it as "partial 16S ribosomal RNA". It matches the Rfam family "Bacterial small subunit ribosomal RNA", at positions 773 to 1060 of the family's 1533-position model. The record is from RNAcentral.